Non-coding RNA from Picea glauca (white spruce), 122 nucleotides. The record is from Rfam. Lineage: Eukaryota; Viridiplantae; Streptophyta; Pinopsida; Pinales; Pinaceae.
AUGUAAUGUAAUGCCUACAACGUUAAUGCACUAGAUCCCAUUAUAACUCCAUAGUUAAGCACGCUUAGUCUAGAGUAGUACUGGGAUGGUUGACCUCCCGAAAAGUCCUAGUGUUUUACAUG